CCAAUAGCGUAUAUUAAAGUUGUUGCAGUUAAAAAGCUCGUAGUUGAAUUUCGGGAUCAAGUCGUCGGUCGUGCCUCGGUACGCACUGGUGACAUUGGUUUCUCCCUUCUGAAGAACCUUGAUGUCAUUAAUUUGGUGUCUUGGGGAAUCAGGACUGUUACUUUGAAAAAAUUAGAGUGUUUAAAGCAGGCUCACGCUUGAAUACAUUAGCAUGGAAUAAUGAAAUAGGACGUUUGGUUCUAUUUUGUUGGUUUCUAGGAUCGACGUAAUGAUUAAUAGGGAUAGUUGGUGGGAUUAGUAUUCAAUUGUCAGAGGUGAAAUUCUUGGAUUUAUUGAAGACUAACUACUGCGAAAGAAUUUGCCAAGGAUGUUUUCAUUAAUCAAGAACGAAAGUUAGGGGAUCGAAGACGAUCAGAUACCGUCGUAGUCUUAACCAUAAACUAUGCCGACUAGGGAUCGGAUGAUGUUAAUUUUUUAAUGACUCAUUCGGCGCCUUACG
RNAcentral lists this unclassified non-coding RNA (499 nucleotides) under uncultured Glomus. RNAcentral's name for it is "SSU rRNA". It matches the Rfam family "Eukaryotic small subunit ribosomal RNA", at positions 591 to 1092 of the family's 1831-position model. The record is from RNAcentral. Lineage: Eukaryota; Fungi; Glomeromycota; Glomeromycetes; Glomerales; Glomeraceae.